ACGGCAGCACAGGGGAGCUUGCUCCCUGGGUGGCGAGUGGCGGACGGGUGAGGAAUACAUGGGAAUCUGCCCCGACGUGGGGGAUAACGUAGGGAAACUUACGCUAAUACCGCAUGAUCUGGAGACAGCAAAGCGGCGGACCGCAAGGCGUCGCGCGACGGGAUGAGCCCAUGUCGGAUUAGCUAGUUGGCGGGGUAAAGGCCCACCAAGGCGACGAUCCGUAGCUGGUCUGAGAGGAUGAUCAGCCACACUGGAACUGAGACACGGUCCAGACUCCUACGGGAGGCAGCAGUGGGGAAUAUUGGACAAUGGGCGCAAGCCUGAUCCAGCCAUGCCGCGUGGGUGAAGAAGGCCUUCGGGUUGUAAAGCCCUUUUGUCCGGAAAGAAAAGUCUUCGGUUAAUACCCGGGGAUCCUGACGGUACCGGAAGAAUAAGCACCGGCUAACUUCGUGCCAGCAGCCGCGGUAAUACGAAGGGUGCAAGCGUUACUCGGAAUUACUGGGCGUAAAGCGUGCGUAGGUGGUUCGUUAAGUCCGAUGUGAAAGCCCUGGGCUCAACCUGGGAAUGGCAUGGGAUACUGGCGGGCUAGAGUGCGGUAGAGGGCAGUGGAAUUCCCGGUGUAGCAGUGAAAUGCGUAAAGAUCGGGAGGAACAUCUGUGGCGAAAGCGACUGCCUGGGCCAGCACUGACCCUGAGGCAC
Molecule: ribosomal RNA, 699 nt
Filed under: uncultured bacterium
Lineage: Bacteria
Description: bacterial SSU rRNA
Rfam family: Bacterial small subunit ribosomal RNA
Source: RNAcentral